AUUGAACGCUGGCGGCAUGCUUUACACAUGCAAGUCGAACGGCAGCGCGGGCUUCGUCCUGGCGUCGAGUGGCGGACGGGCGAGUAAUUCAUCGGAACGUGCCCAGUAUUUGGGGAUAGCUCAGCGAAAGCCGGAUGAAUACCGCAUACGACCUGAUGGUGAAAGCGGUGGAUCUUCGGACCACGCGCUAUUUGAUCUGCCUAUGGCACAUUAGCUAGUUGGUUUGGUAAAGGCCUACCAAGGCGACGAUCUGUAGCUGGUCUGAGAGGACGACCAGCCACACUGGGACUGAGACACGGCCCAGACUCCUACGGGAGGCAGCAGUGGGGAAUCUUGCACAAUGGGCGAAAGCCUGAUCCAGCAAUGCCGCGUGUGUGAUGAAGGCCUUCGGGUUGUAAAGCACUUUUGGCGGGAACGAAAAGGACUGUGAGAAUACCACGGUUUGAUGACGGUACCCGCAGAAUAAGCCCCGGCUAACUACGUG
Molecule: ribosomal RNA, 484 nt
Filed under: uncultured bacterium
Lineage: Bacteria
Description: partial 16S ribosomal RNA
Rfam family: Bacterial small subunit ribosomal RNA
Source: RNAcentral